RNAcentral lists this ribosomal RNA (222 nucleotides) under uncultured bacterium. Its description in RNAcentral is "partial 16S ribosomal RNA". It matches the Rfam family "Bacterial small subunit ribosomal RNA", at positions 943 to 1167 of the family's 1533-position model. The record is from RNAcentral.
GGUUUAAUUCGAAGCAACGCGAAAAACCUUACCAAGUCUUGACAUCCUGAUGACGUUCCUUAACCGGAACUUUUCUUCGGAACAUCAGAGACAGGUGGUGCAUGGUUGUCGUCAGCUCGUGUCGUGAGAUGUUGGGUUAAGUCCCGCAACGAGCGCAACCCCUAUUUCCAGUAGCCAGCAGUAAGAUGGGCACUCUGGAGAGACUGCCGGGGAUAACCCGGA